AAAAGAAUAAAACUUCUCUUUGAUCAGUGGUAAGUGCUACCGGUAAUGUCAGGAUCACCAGCACAACCUUGGGAAGCAGGCGAUUCUGAGUGUCCAAAGGGCACCUGUGGCUUGUCCAACUUGACCACAAGCCCUGCUGUCAGGCAGGAGCAUGACGGGGGUGUUCAGUCCCCAGUGUGUGUAAAGUAACCCUCUGCUCAUCCAUCCCACAGCUUGGCUUCGGAUGAGGCGGAGGCCAGGCAGCAGGCCCCCAGCUUGCAAUGACCUUGACAGCCCCUCCGCCGCUGUGGGGUUUUCCUUUCUUCUGCAAGUAGGAAUGCAGUUGUGGUGAACAGGAUGGAGAAACCGUGACUGAGAUAAUACCGGUAAAGCACAUGAGGAGUAGAGCUACUAAAGGCCGACCCUGGGUCAGAGCCCCUGCUUGCCAUUAUGAAGACUUAGAUAAUCAUGGAAAGACCCAGAGAACAACUUAUCUCACCAACAAACUCCUGCUUCUACUGCUAGCUAAUGUUUAUUGAACCCCAAUAUGAACUAUUAAGAAGUGCAUGAAAAUAACCCUGUGCAGGGAGGCUCUGCCUCUUCUUACCAACCUCCAUGAUUACCCAGCCUGCCUCCAGCUCAGUGGAACCUCCCAGUGCAGGACUUGGAACUGGAUUUACAACAACCCUCUCCAGUGGACACUCAGGAGGGGGCCUGGGAUGAACAGCCCAAUGGCACUUUAUACUACAGCAUGCAGGGGAUACAUUAUUUGGCUCUCUCGUGUCUGGAAUUUUCCAAAUGGACACAUGACUUUAAACCAGCUUUGAUUUAUUUUGCAACGUGGCUCCUUUCCAAGUACCCUUUGUCCCAAUCAUCCAAGAAGGAUGUAUGCCUUACAAAAUCUGAAUGAGGCUGCUUUUCCUUGCCACAGCAUAGCUAGUAACCCCUGGUUGUUUCUUCUUCUUUUUAAUUAACUUAAAAAAUUUUAAGCCAAA
Molecule: long non-coding RNA, 974 nt
Organism: Phyllostomus hastatus (greater spear-nosed bat)
Lineage: Eukaryota; Metazoa; Chordata; Mammalia; Chiroptera; Phyllostomidae
Exons: 3
Source: RefSeq, a predicted model, not a curated record